This 199-nucleotide unclassified non-coding RNA is filed under the name soil metagenome. Its description in RNAcentral is "partial contains 5.8S ribosomal RNA, internal transcribed spacer 2, and large subunit ribosomal RNA". The record is from RNAcentral.
AACGGUCUAUACCUGCGGUACCUGCGGAAGGAUCAUUAUCAAUUUACAGCGGACUUCGGUCCUGUCUGCACCCUUGUCUUUUGCGUACUAUAUGUUUCCUCGGUGGGCUUGCCUGCCGAUAGGACACUUAUAAACUCUUUUGUAAUUGCAAUCAGCGUCAGAAAACUAUAAUAGUUACAACUUUUAGCAAUGGAUCUCU